AAAAAAUGCUAAUAUAACUGGAAGAUGCUUUAUGCAAAAGGUCUCUUGUAAGGUAUCAUUACAAAGCUUAGAAUCUGAGUGUGAUCACCCUACUUGUAUAAGUGUACCACUCUUAUAUCUGAAACUGGAAAUAUAAAAUAUAACGAUAAGGGCC
Chelonoidis abingdonii (Abingdon island giant tortoise) is the source of this 154-nucleotide non-coding RNA. The record is from RefSeq and is a predicted model, not a curated record. NCBI's taxonomy places the organism in Eukaryota, Metazoa, Chordata, Testudines, Testudinidae.